GUGCGUUUGAGACCAUUUUUGUAUUGUUGGGGGAGUGUGAGGUGAUUUCAUUUCAGGAUUUCGUCUAAUGACAGUGCGAUGUUUACGCCUAGGUAAGUUAGUGAUGUCGUUCUCCAGUCAAAGGGGUAGUUAUCUUUCAGUAUUGUUUUGGUGGCUAAGGGAAGCCCAACAGGGAGGGCCUGGGUUUCAUCUUGAUUCAGGCGAUAAUGGGAGAUGUUGCCGAAUGUCUUCAGGGUUUCCAUGAGGGGUGGUAGAGAUCGCUGGGGGUUCCCUAAUUUAUCAAAAUGUCAUCG
Molecule: non-coding RNA, 293 nt
Organism: Pelobates cultripes (western spadefoot toad)
Lineage: Eukaryota; Metazoa; Chordata; Amphibia; Anura; Pelobatidae
Source: the annotation of a GenBank genome assembly